Molecule: long non-coding RNA, 1825 nt
Filed under: Homo sapiens (human)
Lineage: Eukaryota; Metazoa; Chordata; Mammalia; Primates; Hominidae
Description: non-protein coding PART1:20
Rfam family: Prostate androgen-regulated transcript 1 conserved region 3 (bases 218-348)
Source: RNAcentral
CUCUGUUUCUAGUGUUCACUUCCACCUUCCACCCUUUCACUAUGAAGGACCCUCACCAGAUGGUGGCACCAUGCUCUCGGACUUCCCAGCCUCCAGAACUGGACGGGUAAAUUGAAGCAAAAAGCAGACAAGUUCUAUGGGAUUUGCUGGCAUUGAUUUCCCAGGAUGGCAAAGUGCUAAGAACUAAACCUUUAAAGCUAACAAAAUGUACUGAUGUCUUUGCAAAGUAUCCAAGACCAACAAGAAAGUAAUUUCCCACCUCACCCUACCACCACCCAGAAAAGGAGCACAGAGAUGGGGAAGAGAGUGGCUGCAUCUGGCAUCCAGCCAGAGGAGUCCGUGCAGGGAUUCUGGAUCCCUCUUCCCCCACCCCACUGCCCUUCCCCCUCCACCCCAGCGUUUUGGAGAAGCAAGAAACUGUGAUGAUGCAGCUCCCUCAAGUAUCACAUGAAGAUAGUGGAAAGAGCCUCCUGAGGUAAAUAUGCCAUGUAGACAGAAACAAGCAAUGGCUCAACAGCAAUGUAUGAGGUCCAAGGACCAGGACCAAAGGGAAAAACAGCCAUCUCACCAGACACCUGCCUACGACCAGAUGCGUCAUCUCCAAUAUUAGCUAACUCCCUGGAACCUGGACUCAAGGUGUGAAAUAAAGGUUAAUGGGAAACCGCAGGAGUCAAAAGGAGGGGGCAGGAUUAUUGAGGAUUCAGGCUGUUGAGAAAUGAAAGUUUGGAUCACUCCCCAGAUAAAGAACCUUGACCAUUUAAGGGCAAUGGAAAUACAGAAUAGGCAGUAGAAGAAGGAAGCCAUAGAUACCAACUAUGGCCUCUCAAUCAAUUACAAAACUGAGAAUUCUGACAGUUUUGUGUAUUUCCUCUUUGCAUGUGAUGUAUAUGUGUGUAUUUGUAUAUAUUAACCAUUUUCCUUUUUCUCUCUUCAUUAUUUUAUGAAAGUUGUUGAAUAUAAACUCUACAAUUUAGCCUUUAGGUAAGAGAAUAUUCAGUGGGACUUUGAUUUGAGGAGUAUUUAAGACAGCCAGAUGAGACUACGAUAACUGUUGGAACUGUGUGUCUCCUCAUUUGGGGAAAGGGGUGAGAACUCUGCAUUUCUCUGAAGAACAGAGUUGACUUUGUGUUAUACAGAGUUCAAAUAUAUAUAUAAAAUGGUGCAUGUGGAAGCUAAGAAGCCAAAGGAGUUCACCAAGACAGUUAUCAAUAUAUUGCCUCUCCGCUCCAAAUCCACCCUUCUUUGCCCUGUUCCACGAUACUAAUCUGGCUCCUCGGUCAGCCAGUGCAAUGUCAUCUGUUGCUGGUAGAGUGUAGGGGAGACACUACAAGGUAUAGUAAAGGGGUCAGAUGCGGUGUCUCAUGCCUGUAAUCACAGCCCUUUGGGAGGCAGAGGCAGGAGGAUCACCUGAGGCCAGGAGUUUGAGACCAGCCUGGACAACAUGGUAAAACCCCAUCUCUACUGAAAAUACAAAAUUAGCACGCACCUGUAAUCCCAGCUACUCGGGAGGCUGAGGCAGGAGAAUCACUUGAACCUGGGAGGUGGAGGUUGCAGUGAGCCAAGAUCGCAUCAUUGCACUCCAGCCAGGGAAAAAAGGCAAAACUCUGUCUCAAAAAAAUAAAUAAAUAAAAUAAAAUAAAACAAGGUAUAGCAAAUAAAGGAGCAUUCCUUCUUGAUUCUUCCUGGUUCUUGUUACCUGUGGCCGCCACCAGUGGUGUAUGGGAGAGUCACCCUACAGUGAGUUCCACCAGCACCUAGUGAGGGCUUCCUACUGAGUUUUAUUGUCACCCGAGCAGGCAAUUUCCUUGCCAGCAGUAUGCAGGAG